RNAcentral lists this ribosomal RNA (627 nucleotides) under uncultured bacterium. RNAcentral's name for it is "bacterial SSU rRNA". It matches the Rfam family "Bacterial small subunit ribosomal RNA", at positions 218 to 842 of the family's 1533-position model. The record is from RNAcentral.
GUGGCGGAUGGGCAUGCGUCGCAUUAGUUAGUUGGCGGUGUAACGGACCACCAAGACGACGAUGCGUAGGGGUUCUGAGAGGAAGGUCCCCCACACUGGUACUGAGACACGGACCAGACUCCUACGGGAGGCAGCAGUGAGGAAUAUUGGUCAAUGGGCGGGAGCCUGAACCAGCCAAGUCGCGUGAGGGAUGACGGCCCUAUGGGUUGUAAACCUCUUUUGCCGGGGAGCAAAGUGCCGCACGUGUGCGGUUUGGAGAGUACCCGGAGAAAAAGCAUCGGCUAACUCCGUGCCAGCAGCCGCGGUAAUACGGAGGAUGCGAGCGUUAUCCGGAUUUAUUGGGUUUAAAGGGUGCGUAGGCGGACGCUUAAGUCAGCGGUAAAAUUGCGGGGCUCAACCUCGUCGAGCCGUUGAAACUGGGUGCCUUGAGUGGGCGAGAAGUACGCGGAAUGCGUGGUGUAGCGGUGAAAUGCAUAGAUAUCACGCAGAACUCCGAUUGCGAAGGCAGCGUACCGGCGCCCAACUGACGCUGAAGCACGAAGGCGUGGGUAUCGAACAGGAUUAGAUACCCUGGUAGUCCACGCAGUAAACGAUGAAUGCUAGUUGUCCGGGGCGAUUGAGUUCUGG